GUCAUCCAAGUAUGGGCUCCUCCUAACUGGUGUGAGCUGAGCUCUGCCUAUGAUAAUGGUCGAGUUGGAGCUCACACCAGUGGAGGACUCCAUACAAACUGGAAUGGAGGGGCCUUCCUUUUAUUCUAACCUCAUUUUCAAGCUUAUCAUGAUGAAAGAGUGAGUGCAAAGGAGACUGGCCUUGUAAUUACAGAUUGGAAUGGCCUUGUAUUGGUGAUGUUGUAUUGUACUUUUAUUAACUGUGAAUAUGAUAGGAUUAAAGAGUUGCAGGAUUUUUACAGAGCAGCCUUGUUCAGCAACAGGAUGACAUUCAACAAAGCUAGCCGCUGGGCCUGGCAAACAAAAUAAUGAAGAAGAAAUAUGUAAAUAUGGGCUGGAUAAUUUGCUGUAAAACUUUGUUCAAGCAGAUUGUUAGAUCUUUCUUAGCACGUUGCUUAAAAGACAGCCCUGUCUAGUGUUUGUCUGCUAUAGAUGGCGAUAGGAUUUUGACAGAGCAGCCUUGUUCAGUAGGGGAAGGAGACUCUUAGAUAUUUUAUAGAUUUUCUUACAAUUUUUUGUAUCUUUUUUAUAAAUUUUGUAUAUAAAUAUUUUUUCCAUUAAUUGUUGGUUUGUUUAUUUACAUUUCAUUUAACAUGUAACCAAAGUUUUUUAUUUCUAAAUAAAAGCUAUGAGCUUAUAUUUGUAUUGGAGAAUAAACCAGUUACAAUUGUGUAUAAUAUUUUCACGAGUAAAAGUAUGAUUUAAUCAUAGAUUUACAGCCUAUAGGAAUAACAAUGAUAAUUAUAGAUAUUUGAACAAAAAUAGGUUGAAACCCAGAGAUAAAUUCUAAUAUAAGCAUGUGAAUCCAGUUAUAGAGAUUCCAAAAUCUAGACUGGAGUAUUGAUACUCAAAUGAACCCUGAACACCUGAGACACCAUCCUCAAUUUCCAUUGUGGCUAUACGUUGACAAGGAUAAGGCAAAUGAACUUUGUGGUUGAGGAAGAGAAUGAAUACAUCUGUCAAAGAAUGCAUCACCCACAUCUGUUUUGUAAGCCUUUAACAGCACCCUCUCAUCUUGAUUGAAGAGGGCUCUUUUCAGGGCAAUCCGUUAUUGCACUGUGAAAAGUCAUACCUGGAAUGAGGGAGUCUUUGACAUAGUUAGCUACCAACUAACAUAUAAGGUCCGUGGUGUUCCAGGAUGCAUGCAAAUUACAUGACAAAAUAUCUAAAGAUAUUAGUUUUAAUGAUAUUGAUGAUUUUGUCAA
Long non-coding RNA from Cryptomeria japonica (Japanese cedar), 1244 nucleotides. RefSeq lists it as uncharacterized. NCBI's taxonomy places the organism in Eukaryota, Viridiplantae, Streptophyta, Pinopsida, Cupressales, Cupressaceae. The transcript is spliced from 2 exons. The record is from RefSeq and is a predicted model, not a curated record.